RNAcentral lists this ribosomal RNA (442 nucleotides) under uncultured bacterium. RNAcentral describes it as "partial 16S ribosomal RNA". It matches the Rfam family "Bacterial small subunit ribosomal RNA", at positions 338 to 795 of the family's 1533-position model. The record is from RNAcentral.
CCUACGGGCGGCAGCAGUGGGGAAUAUUGGGCAAUGGGCGAAAGCCUGACCCAGCAACGCCGCGUGAAGGAAGAAGGCUUUCGGGGUGUAAACUUAUUUUGACAGGGAAGAGCAGAAGACGGUAACUGUCGAAUAAGCCACGGCUAACGACGUGCCAGCAGCCGCGUUAAUACGUAGGUGGCAAGGGUUGUACUGAUUUACUGGGUUUAAAGGGUUCGUAGCCGGGCUGACAAGUCAGAUGUGAAAUCCGGGGGCUCAAACCCCGAACUGCAUUUGAAACUGGUGGUCUUGAGUAGCGGAGAGGCAGGCGGAAUGCCUAGUGUAGCGGUGAAAUGCGUAGAUAUUAGGAAGAACACCAGUGGCGAAGGCGGCCUGCUGGACGACAACUGACGGUGAGGCGCGAAAGCGUGGGGAGCAAACAGGAUUAGAUACCCCUGUAGUC